GGGUGUAUAGCUCAGUGGUAGAGUGCUUGCUUAGCAUGCAUGAGGUCCUGGGUUCAGUCCCUAGUACCUUCA
This 72-nucleotide transfer RNA is filed under the name Camelus bactrianus (Bactrian camel). It matches the Rfam family "tRNA". From Rfam's summary of the family: Transfer RNA (tRNA) molecules are approximately 80 nucleotides in length. Their secondary structure includes four short double-helical elements and three loops (D, anti-codon, and T loops). Further hydrogen bonds mediate the characteristic L-shaped molecular structure. tRNAs have two regions of fundamental functional importance: the anti-codon, which is responsible for specific mRNA codon recognition, and the 3' end, to which the tRNAs corresponding amino acid is attached (by aminoacyl-tRNA synthetases). tRNAs cope with the degeneracy of the genetic code in two manners: having more than one tRNA (with a specific anti-codon) for a particular amino acid; and 'wobble' base-pairing, i.e. permitting non-standard base-pairing at the 3rd anti-codon position. The record is from Rfam by way of RNAcentral. Lineage: Eukaryota; Metazoa; Chordata; Mammalia; Artiodactyla; Camelidae. RNAcentral also lists the same sequence under 2 other names.